RNAcentral lists this ribosomal RNA (468 nucleotides) under uncultured bacterium. RNAcentral describes it as "partial 16S ribosomal RNA". It matches the Rfam family "Bacterial small subunit ribosomal RNA", at positions 28 to 507 of the family's 1533-position model. The record is from RNAcentral.
GACGAACGCUGGCGGCGUGCUUAACACAUGCAAGUCGAACGGAAGGGCCCUGCUUUUGUGGGGUGCUCGAGUGGCGAACGGGUGAGUAACACGUGAGUAACCUGCCCUUGACUUUGGGAUAACUUCAGGAAACUGGGGCUAAUACCGGAUAGGAGCUCCUGCUGCAUGGUGGGGGUUGGAAAGUUUCGGCGGUUGGGGAUGGACUCGCGGCUUAUCAGCUUGUUGGUGGGGUAGUGGCUUACCAAGGCUUUGACGGGUAGCCGGCCUGAGAGGGUGACCGGCAACAUGGGGAUGGAGAUACGGCCCAGAGUCCUAGGGGAGGGAGCAGUGGGGAAUAUUGCACAAUGGGCGGAAGCCUGAUGCAGCAACGCCGGGUGCGGGAUGAGGGCCUUGGGUUUGUAAACCGUUUUCGCCUGUGACGAAGCGUGAGUGACGGUAAUGGGUAAAGAAGCACCGGCUAACUACGUG